ACGGACCCACCCUCCGCCGCCUUCCUGUCCAUUAACUCGCGUCGUCUAAUCGGCUAAACUCCAUUCGUUCCCCUCUCCUCUCGUUGCUUCCACCUCCGCCUCGAAAUCACAGCCGGCGGGAGAGAAGUGGAGGCCGUGGACCUCAGCUGAUUCGUGCCGGUUCAUCUAGUUGCGGGUAUUGCUCGUUUCAGAUAAAGUUCUGCUCUGCUCUUCUCUUCUCUGCUCUUCAUCUGUUCGUCAAAAUGCCUCACUGAAGCGUUACAUUCCUGUGAGUAGGUUCUCUUUUUUUUUGGUAAACAGAGUAGGUUCUCUCGAUGGCCAGCUUUAAAGCUCAAAAGUUCCUUAGGUGACCUAACCCAGCUAUUGCCAUUCUCAAAUCUUCCAUGUUGGUUUUCCUGGUUGUUUCCUCUUCCCCUAUGUAAUUUGUGGAAGAACAAGGAUCGUGGUAUACUUCAUAACUCCUAUCCCUUGUACUUCUAAAAAGAUGUGAAGGCAGAUCUUAGCUGAUCAAUUCUCCUUUGGGCUCAUUUGGUUC
Molecule: long non-coding RNA, 535 nt
Filed under: Phoenix dactylifera (date palm)
Lineage: Eukaryota; Viridiplantae; Streptophyta; Magnoliopsida; Arecales; Arecaceae
Description: long non-coding RNA (PDAC_LNC012626)
Source: RNAcentral